Molecule: long non-coding RNA, 221 nt
Filed under: Elaeis guineensis (African oil palm)
Lineage: Eukaryota; Viridiplantae; Streptophyta; Magnoliopsida; Arecales; Arecaceae
Description: long non-coding RNA (EGUI_LNC009369)
Source: RNAcentral
CUAAAUAUAGAUAUUGAUGAAAAUAAAAAAUCAGGAUAUUAUCAAAUGGUCAGAAAAGAUGAAGGUGAAUGCCCAAAAGGAUUCAAAGAAUUAUUGCCAAUUCCAUUAGGACCAUGAGCAUAAUACCGAGGACCAUCUCCAAUGAAAAAGGAGAUAGAAGCCCUAAUCAAGCGAGCUUUCUCGGAGCCUAUGUUCACUACCCACAAGACAAAGAGGCCCCA